Tigriopus californicus is the source of this 464-nucleotide long non-coding RNA. RefSeq lists it as uncharacterized. The transcript has 3 exons. NCBI's taxonomy places the organism in Eukaryota, Metazoa, Arthropoda, Copepoda, Harpacticoida, Harpacticidae. The record is from RefSeq and is a predicted model, not a curated record.
AAAAGUGAGUUGAGCCCGUCUGGUCUUUGAUACGUUCUUUGCUGGCCGUCGCUUUUGCUAUUGUUUGGCAAACCUGUUCGUUUUCUGUAAGAGCAAAAGAGAGAGAGAACACAUGUGCACGAAUAUGGCUUGCUUAUUAAUUAGCGUAUUGCCCGAAGUGACUAUGCAGUCAAGAUUCACAAGCCGACCCGCUAGCUACCAUCCCAUUGAAGCUCUUCAACAUCUCUCAGGUUCUAAAACCCAAUUUUGAAUAAUUCCAAGCCAACAUUAUGAUUGUAGCAACAUCCCUCAUGGUCUCUUUGGUGUUUUUUAUUUGUGGAGAAAUGGUCAAUUCCUACGCCAUCUUCCCUCGAACGAUGAACUCCCUACAUAUGGGCUCCCACAGACCCGACCGAGAAAAUCAACAUUUAGAAAUGGACGACGAGUCUUCUGGAACGAUGCCAGAAUGCAUCGGAGAUAUGGAU